GACGAACGCUGGCGGCGUGCUUAACACAUGCAAGUCGAACGGAAAGGCCCUGCUUUUGUGGGGUGCUCGAGUGGCGAACGGGUGAGUAACACGUGAGUAACCUGCCCUUGACUUUGGGAUAACUUCAGGGAACUGGGGCUAAUACCGGAUAGGAGCUCCUGCUGCAUGGUGGGGGUUGGAAAGUUUCGGCGGUUGGGGAUGGAUUCGCGGCUUAUCAGCUUGUUGGUGGGGUAGUGGCUUACCAAGGCUUUGACGGGUAGCCGGCCUGAGAGGGUGACCGGCCACCUUGGGACUGAGGUACGGCCCAGACUCCUACGGGGGGCAGCAGUGGAGAAUGUUGCACAAUGGGCGGGAGCCUGAUGCAGCAACGCCGCGUGCGGGAUGACGGCCUUCGGGUUGUAAACCGCUUUCGCCUGUGACGAAGCGUGAGUGACGGUACUGGGUAAAGAAGCACCGGCUAACUACGUG
This 468-nucleotide ribosomal RNA is filed under the name uncultured bacterium. RNAcentral describes it as "partial 16S ribosomal RNA". It matches the Rfam family "Bacterial small subunit ribosomal RNA", at positions 28 to 507 of the family's 1533-position model. The record is from RNAcentral.